GGGACUUUAAGGAUAAUUUCGUCUUUAACCAUACUAAUGCAUGCGUUAAUAGUCUUGGUAUUACUAAUGCCAAAUACAUAGGAUAAUAUCAAGUAUGAUGUAUAGAGCUAAUGCUUGCAUUAUUUUUUCUAAUACCUCCUACCAAACGACCCUUGUUGUGUACUUAAAGACAGAAUCCAUCAGUAAGGUGCACAAGCCUUAGCACCUUAACACCUACACUAAAGCGCAAAUUACCCAAGGCGAAGCACACACCAAGCUUCAGUGCUUAAGUGCCCUUUAAGCGAGCCUAUAACAACACUACAACUAGCUUAAUAGAAAUUCUUGCAUAUAUGUAAGCAAUUUUGGUUCCUUCUAUUGAGUUUAUGUAAGAACUCAUAAUCUUAUUCGCUUCAGCUUUUCUUUUUAUUCACAGGAACCUUCGCCUCAUCUACUUUUGUAGUUUACAAUCUUUUUUUCCAGUCUUUGAACAGAUCUAUUCUCUUCAUUUUCCCUCUUUCUGUUUUUUAUUGUAACCAAGUUGUACCCCUUUUUCCUUGUCGUCGUCACAGGUUGGCAAUAACAAUCACAUAUUCUGCUGGGCAUGCCAGAAUUAUUAUUGUUACCUUUGUAGAAAGAUGCUCGCUUUGAGCCGAGGGUCUAUCAUAUACCUGCACAAGAAAGAUGGCGAAGCAAAGCUCCCAGCAUUGUGGACCUAAGGGCUGCAAACAACACACUGCUGAAUAGUUGGAAAGAACGUUUCAAUUUAAGGGGAUCUCUUCCUGAAUUUUUUUUGUUCUUGUUCAUUGAAGUCCAUAUUCCUCAUACGUUCUUAUGCCAAAAUUGAUGUUUAGGAUCCUAGCUUAUCGCCCGACGACAUGUUUUCUCGUGUGAUAUAUGCCAUUUUCAAAGCAAUUGUAAGUACAAAUUGUAGCAUACAUCGGAUUUAGUGUAAGUGGGUUCCUCUAAAAACUGAGGCAGACUGCCAUCUUUGACAAUAGGAACGAUGCCGGCACAAGCACAUGUUUUAACCACUGUUUUUCUUUCUUUCCAAAGGUAAAAGAGUGUUGUUGAGAGUACUUGUAUGUCGGAUGUUUAUAUCAAAUCAAUAAAUGUAAUUUAUAUAUGAUUAAGUGA
Molecule: non-coding RNA, 1113 nt
Organism: Nicotiana tabacum (common tobacco)
Lineage: Eukaryota; Viridiplantae; Streptophyta; Magnoliopsida; Solanales; Solanaceae
Source: RefSeq, a predicted model, not a curated record